GAUUAGGGUGUAUUGUUGUUUUGAUUUACCUGUUUUGUUCAAAAUGAAAUAAUUCCCCAAUAUUUUCAUUUUUAAAAAGUGCUACGUUAAAUUUUUGAUUUUUAUCCUUCUUUUAAUUUUUUUUAAAUUGAACCUUCUUAAAAAAUCGAGCUUUAAGGCAUAAUAUCAAAGAUUUUUUAUAUGAAAUAUUUUGGUUUCAGUGCCGCAAGAAGAUUUAGUACAGUGUGUACCAACCAAAAAAGGCCACCAAAUAAUGUUUCAGGGAUACACAUACGUUUUUAAAGCAAAACUACAGUGUGGUGCAGAGCAAUGGAACUGUUCCUACAGACAAAAAACCGGUUGCAUAUCUGUAAUAAACAUGCAAACUUAUGGUGUAGAAGUAGUUCGAGACUUCCAUAAUCAUAAAAAGCCCCUGUUCAGUGAUUAAAGCUCAGUAAUUAUAUCAGAAACUAACUAUUAGCUAGGUAUAUUAUAAAUAACCUGCAUCUGGUACAAUGUGAAAAACAAUUACUAGGAAAAAGAACUAGGUUCUUGUACUUACUACUGAAUAUUUGCAAUAUAUAAUUGUUUAUCACUGUAAUCACAAUAACCUUUGAGGGAGUUCAGAUAUAUAACAACCUGCAACAUUGACUUCUUUUAAAGCGAGCCUUCAAAGGCACAUACUCAAUAAUUAUGAAAUGUUUCAAUAACAUAUGUAGGUUGUUUUAUGUCUUAUCUGUUUGCCUAACAUUGAAUUGCAUUCUGUACCCACCAUAAUCAUUGUUGUUAAGUACCUACUUUAAUUUGUAAAAUAUUAAUUUCUCAUGUAAGUGACAAUAGGUCUUAAUGAGAAUAAAGUUAUUUAAACCUAAUCAGAUUCACCACCUGGAUAUUAUGUAUCAUUUGUUGGUAGUAGUUUUGGUUGACUGUUUAUUAGUGUAACUAGAAAACCUAUUUUCUACAUACAAAUUCUAGAAAUUGUUUUUAUCCACAAAAUUUGUGCUAUAAAUAAAAGGAUUACUGUAUUGUAUUUAUCCACCCAUAUCGAAUAAAAGAGAACAGUUUACCAGACUGGGUAUUCUUAUAUUUCUUGCAAGAAUCUAGUGGAUUAUUCAAGUGUAAUAUAUGUGUUUCUGAGGUGACUGUUACGGAGAAAUGUUUAGAGCUUUUGCAUCACAUGCAGGAAACACAUAAAGAAAUAUAUGAUUUACAUAAGGACAGUAUUGACUCAAAUGUGUGCUACCAAGUGGAGUUCUUAGAUUGUAAUAAAGAGGUGGAAGAGUCUACCCCACAAAUUGUUAUCAAUGAGGUGCUAUGUGAUGAACAGGAUGAAAAAACUGGAGAAAAUUUCAAAACUGUUGAACGGAAGUCAAAAUACAUAGUAAUAUCUAAAUACAAUCAAGAAAAACCUUAUAAGAUACAUAAGGAGUCUGUAUAUCCCCGCAAAAGAAGUUGGGUUUGGAAAUACUUUGAUCGAGUAACAAAAACGAUAUAUCGAUGCAAUCUGUGUAGUGCGGGCCUGUCGAUAAAGGCUAACAACUCGAAUAACAUGAACCGGCACAUCCGAACCAAACAUUUGGUUGCAUAUAAUAGGGAAGUGCACAAUUCGUCGCAACCUUCCGUUUCUAAUCGCAGCAGAAACGAAGACGGUGCGGUGCAAGUGCGGUCAUUUCUAGUGCAGCCGAAACCUCGUCGUAGCUGGGUGUGGCGGCACUUCGACCACGUCACAAAGAAGACAGCUAAAUGUAGAUUUUGUAAACGACUGAUCAGUCAUGGCGGCAACGCAACCGGGAACAUGAACCGACAUCUGAAGGUGGUGCACAAGAAGAGUCCAGAUUGUAUCGACAAUCACUGGGCUUGGAAAGUAUUUGAUGUCAUUGAUACAAUACCCACGUGUAGCAUUUGCAAUUAUCAGACUGCCAAAGACGACGACCAAGAACAGAAUCUUCAGAAUGUUUUGGAUCAUCUUAUGGAAGAGCAUGGGGUUGUUUCUGGCUCGCAGAUUAUAAGUACAGAUACGUUAGAUGUUGGCGAGAUAUGAGUCAUUGGAUAAAGUUCUAUUUCUUGACAAGGAAAGUUUAAUGAAUUCAAACAAGGAGUGAUAAGAAUACCAAGUGUACAAGUAAGAAUUGAAAGAAUCACAGAUACGAAUAUUCAACAAGAUGACGAAAAACCAUUAAGUGACCUUUCAAGCAAUAUUACAUCUGAUAUAGACCUAAAUAUUUCUGAUUCUUCAACGUGGCUGGAUCUACCUUCGUCGAGAUCAAGCAGUUCGUUUUCUGAUUUGGACGUCUAGCGAAGAAAGAAAUAUAUAUGUUUGGAAACUGUUAAGAGAGAGGACUCUCCAAAAUAUAUACAGUUGGUACAAUAUACCUUAAAUUGAUGCAGUGAUUUCGUAUUUGAACACGAAAUCACUAUUAUUAUAUUACUUUAGGUGAAAAAUAAUUACAACGCACACAAGAACAAAAUGCAAUCUGAACAUCUUUAUACAAAAUCUUAUAUUAAUAUUAACUCUAAAAAUACAACUCUAUUUCAAAUAGUUUUUUCUAAUGAAAAACUUACAUUUGACACAAAAUAGUUAAAAGCAGAUGAAAUAACUAAUAUAUAUUAUAACUAGACUACUGUUGUCUGUUACUUAAACUUUGCUGUUGAUAUACUAUACAUUUAAAAUGUACAAAUUGACCCUGUAAUUAUUGUUAUUGAUUUCACUAACUUAGGAGCUUCUGACGUGUCUAAGACAAACGUGAAUAAACGAGUGAUCGAUAAUCCUGCGCAUGGUAUUUCUAUUUUAGGCCUUAGUAAAAAUCGAAAGGAAGAUAGCAAAGAAUAAUGAAAGAAGAAUAAAAAAAGUCAAAUGUAUCGUAAUAUAAUUUGAUAAAUUUUGGAGUCAAAACUUUAGCAGAUCAAAAAACAAUGUAAGAUGAAUUGCGACUAAAUUCUUUUGCUGAAGUUAACAUUGAAACACAUGUUGUUAUAUUUUAGAUCCAGCAAAAGAAACAAUUACUGAAUACUGUUAAUUUUUUUUAACCUAUAUGUGUUAAAAUUCCUAUGAUUGUAGGAUUUUGAUUUGCAUUCAGCUUGCAUUAAAAAUGCAUACAAAUAUAUAUUAUAUACUUGAAGAAUAUUUUUUUUUAAAUUGUAUAAGUAUUUUUAUAAUAAAAAAGGGGCGUGCAUUAAAUAUAGGCAAUUAGGCAUAACCUACUUCAAUAAAAACCUUAAUUAAAAUUAUAUAGCACUGGGAUUAUAGUUAUUUUAUUUUAAUUUGGUUCUAUUAUUCUAAAACCAAACUUCCAUUAAACACUCAUCCAGUAAGUUUUUAUAUGGAAAUAUCUAGGAAAAUUAAUUAAGGUAUUCUGAAGCUAAUAAAAAAGCGGACUGUAUGUCAUUUUUCAAGAGUGUAAUUUAAAUCAUAUCAAUAUAAAAUUAUUUUGUAGAAAAUAUAACAAAGAUGAAUUAAUUAAAUAAAAAGAAAAAGAUAUAACUAAAUUUCUAACUACAUAAUGUCAUAUUGUUAGGUACUUGUACCUAUCUAGAGUGACAUCAACUAAAAUAUUAGGUUGACCAAAUGGUCCCCGAAACUAUACGCGAAACACAAACAACUUCAAUAUUUUGAUCUCAAAACCUAGCGCCGUCGGACUAAAGCACAACUAGUUUGAUCUUCAUGCCUACCUUGCUGGAAAACCAAUGCACGCCCCAGUUUUAUUGUAUAAGUGUUCUUCACAUAUAAAUAAAAGGUAUACAAGUAAAUAAAUAAAAAAUAUUCCAGUUAAAAUUCGGACAUUUUGAAUAAUAAUACAUUAACAUUCAAGUGACGGACGGCUUAGGCCCACAGUUAUGUGUGCUCUGUAAGUACACGAUCCUGCCAUUGUAUGUGUGAAGAGCUGCUUUACACCAAGGUCCUCUUGAGCAUCGCCACCUUAUUUUCCCAUUUCUUGCACAUCCGUUGAACCUAAACCGAUAUCCGCCAACGGUUAUUCCCAUUUUGCCUUGUUUGCUAAGACAGUACGAAGCAACAAAAUCCAGUCCACCGAAAAAUCCUGAAAAUUAUCAUUUUUGUUAGACUCGUUGGAAAUUUAUUAUGUUCACCUGGGCGUACAAUGUAAAUUACAAUCUGUGAAAACUUUUUCUUUACAGGGUGACAUUAAAGUAAUAAUUAAAACUAUAUAAUAUGACAUAAACUAAAUAAAAUCUAUUUUUUUACACUGCAGAAGGCCUACCAUCUACUUUUAAUUAGCGAUUUAAUGCCGAUGCAAUUCAGUUUAGGAACCUAAACUCGUAUUCGUAAAAAUAAACUGAUUAAAAUGACCUAUGAACGCCCCAUGUUGAUUUGACAGGAGAACAGAGUACAUUUUUUUUAAUUCAUUCUUGCGAACAGGCUUAUAGCCAGGGGCCUUAGGUAUUGCCUUGUUUUUAGUAUUUAUUUUCAGUUUUUGUUUUACAAAAAGUCCAAUAAAGUAUUCUCAUCUCAUCUUUCAUCAAUUCCAUUUUCCUUUUCUUUAUGUUUUCAAUAGUUUAUAAAAGUUAUUAACAAAACGACUCAAAAUUUUUGAAUCGCUCACUUUAAGCUAUCCAGUUUAGGUUGAAAUAUUACCUCAUGGUACGAAUGAAUGUACCAACUAAAACAGUAUGCGAUUCAAUUUCCGACUUGAUUUGACGUCAACCAAAAUUGGAUAGCUCUAAUAAUGUCGUGGUAUGAGUAGCAAAGCAGUUCAUUUUAGGUUGUUAAUUGAAUCUCAAUAAGAGUUCAUGGUAGGUCCUUUAAAAAUCUUAGGGAAUACAAUUAAUCGGAAAGAUUUUUUACAAUAACACAGUUCAAUUGAAAUAUUUUUAUUUUUGAUGGAAUGUAACACACACACACCAUAUAUGUUACAAUAGCAACCUUAAAUAUUUAAAUAAGAAGUGAACCAGUUGUAGACAUUCUUGUGAUUAAAUUGAAUAAAGUGUUUUGUACCAAAGUA
Leptidea sinapis is the source of this 4937-nucleotide long non-coding RNA. RefSeq lists it as uncharacterized. The record is from RefSeq and is a predicted model, not a curated record. The transcript has 7 exons. NCBI's taxonomy places the organism in Eukaryota, Metazoa, Arthropoda, Insecta, Lepidoptera, Pieridae.